This 252-nucleotide ribosomal RNA is filed under the name uncultured bacterium. RNAcentral describes it as "partial 16S ribosomal RNA". It matches the Rfam family "Bacterial small subunit ribosomal RNA", at positions 524 to 776 of the family's 1533-position model. The record is from RNAcentral.
UACGGAGGAUGCGAGCGUUAUCCGGAUUUAUUGGGUUUAAAGGGUGCGUAGGCGGAUCGUUAAGUCAGUGGUCAAAUUGAGGGGCUCAACCCCUUCCCGCCAUUGAAACUGGCGAUCUUGAGUGGAAGAGAAGUAUGCGGAAUGCGUGGUGUAGCGGUGAAAUGCAUAGAUAUCACGCAGAACCCCGAUUGUGAAGGCAGCAUGCCGGCUUCCGACUGACGCUGAAGCACGAAAGCGUGGGGAUCGAACAGG